GGGGGUUCCUUGAGUGUAGGCUUUGCCUGCUAUCUCUUACCCAUGUCUUUUAAGUACCUUACGUUUCCUCGGCGGGUCCGCCCGCCGAUUGGACAAUUUAAACCAUUUGCAGUUGCAAUCAGCGUCUGAAAAAACUUAAUAGUUACAACUUUCAACAACGGAUCUCUUGGUUCUGGCAUCGAUGAAGAACGCAGCGAAAUGCGAUAAGUAGUGUGAAUUGCAGAAUUCAGUGAAUCAUCGAAUCUUUGAACGCACAUUGCGCCCCUUGGUAUUCCAUGGGGCAUGCCUGUUCGAGCGUCAUUUGUACCUUCAAGCUCUGCUUGGUGUUGGGUGUUUGUCUCGCCUCUGCGUGUAGACUCGCCUCAAAACAAUUGGCAGCCGGCGUAUUGAUUUCGGAGCGCAGUACAUCUCGCGCUUUGCACUCAUAACGACGACGUCCAAAAGUACAUUUUUACACUCUUGACCUCGGAUCAGGUAGGGAUACCCGCUGAACUUAAGCAUAUCAAUAAGCGGAGGAA
RNAcentral lists this ribosomal RNA (518 nucleotides) under Nothophoma quercina. RNAcentral describes it as "eukaryotic LSU rRNA". The stretch from base 147 to 300 matches the Rfam family "5.8S ribosomal RNA". The record is from RNAcentral. Lineage: Eukaryota; Fungi; Ascomycota; Dothideomycetes; Pleosporales; Didymellaceae.